Molecule: ribosomal RNA, 256 nt
Filed under: uncultured bacterium
Lineage: Bacteria
Description: partial 16S ribosomal RNA
Rfam family: Bacterial small subunit ribosomal RNA
Source: RNAcentral
CGGACGGGUGAGUAACGCGUGGAAAACCUGCCGUAUACUGGGGGAUAACACUUAGAAAUAGGUGCUAAUACCGCAUAAGCGCACAGCUUCGCAUGAAGCGGUGUGAAAAACUCUGGUGGUAUACGAUGGUUCCGCGUCUGAUUAGCUAGGUUGGUGGGGUAAUGGCCUACCAAGGCAACGAUCAGUAGCCGGCCUGAGAGGGUGAACGGCCACAUUGGGACUGAGACACGGCCCAAACUCCUACGGGAGGCAGCAG